AGUUACGUGGCCGAGGUGGAAAGGCGGAGGCUCGCAAGCCCUCCUACGGUGGUUCGAAUCCACCCGUAACUG
RNAcentral lists this transfer RNA (72 nucleotides) under Niastella sp. HX-2-15. Its description in RNAcentral is "tRNA-OTHER". It matches the Rfam family "tRNA". From Rfam's summary of the family: Transfer RNA (tRNA) molecules are approximately 80 nucleotides in length. Their secondary structure includes four short double-helical elements and three loops (D, anti-codon, and T loops). The record is from RNAcentral. Lineage: Bacteria; Pseudomonadati; Bacteroidota; Chitinophagia; Chitinophagales; Chitinophagaceae.